RNAcentral lists this ribosomal RNA (497 nucleotides) under uncultured bacterium. Its description in RNAcentral is "partial 16S ribosomal RNA". It matches the Rfam family "Bacterial small subunit ribosomal RNA", at positions 28 to 507 of the family's 1533-position model. The record is from RNAcentral.
GAUGAACGCUGGCGGCGUGCCUAAUACAUGCAAGUCGAGCGAACAGACGAGGAGCUUGCUCCUCUGACGUUAGCGGCGGACGGGUGAGUAACACGUGGAUAACCUACCUAUAAGACUGGGAUAACUUCGGGAAACCGGAGCUAAUACCGGAUAAUAUAUUGAACCGCAUUGUUCAAUAGUGAAAGACGGUUUUGCUGUCACUUAUAGAUGGAUCCGCGCCGCAUUAACUUGUUGGUAAGGUAACGGCUUACCAAGGCAACGAUGCGUAGCCGACCUGAGAGGGUGGUCGGACACCUUGGAACUGAGAAACGGUACAGACUCCGACGGGAGGCAGCGGUAGGGAAUCUUCCGCAAUGGGGGAAAGCCUAACGGAGCAACGCCGCGUGAGGGAUGAAGGUCUUCGGAUCGGAAAACGCUGUUAUUAGGAAAGAACAAAUGUGUAAGUAACUAUGCACGUCUUGACGGUACCGAAUCAGAAAGCCACGGCUAACUACGUG